Molecule: ribosomal RNA, 497 nt
Filed under: uncultured bacterium
Lineage: Bacteria
Description: partial 16S ribosomal RNA
Rfam family: Bacterial small subunit ribosomal RNA
Source: RNAcentral
GAUGAACGCUGGCGGCGUGCCUAAUACAUGCAAGUCGAGCGAACAGACGAGGAGCCUGCUCCUCUGACGUUAGCGGCGGACGGGUGAGUAACACGUGGAUAACCUACCUAUAAGACUGGGAUAACUUCGGGAAACCGGAGCUAAUACCGGAUAAUAUAUUGAACCGCAUGGUUCAAUAGUGAAAGACGGUUUUGCUGUCACUUAUAGAUGGAUCCGCGCCGCAUUAGCUAGUUGGUAAGGUAACGGCUUACCAAGGCGACGAUGCGUAGCCGACCUGAGAGGGUGAUCGGCCACACUGGAACUGAGACACGGUCCAGACUCCUACGGGAGGCAGCAGUAGGGAAUCUUCCGCAAUGGGCGAAAGCCUGACGGAGCAACGCCGCGUGAGUGAUGAAGGUCCUCGGAUCGUAAAACUCUGUUAUUAGGGAAGAACAAAUGUGUAAGUAACUAUGCACGUCUUGACGGUACCUAAUCAGAAAGCCACGGCUAACUACGUG